UAGUAGAGAUCACGCUCCUUAUGAAACAGACCAGGAAACUGAGGCUGAGAGAGGGCACGGGACCUAUCCAUCGUCCCGCUGCUAGGACCAAUUUGGGACCAGGAGUCACAUUGACAUCCUCUCUGCACAAACUCUAUGUUGUUUCAAGUGAGUGAGAAGUCUUCCCACAGAGGACUCAUCAUAGAGGACGUGUUUCACGUCCGAUUUCCCUGUGACGCAUUUCCUCACCACGGCCUCCCAGCACCGGUCCUAGCGGCCUGGGGACUCCGACCCUUCCAAGGUAUGCAAAACCAAAACCAGCUUCAUGACGGCAUUAAGCGGCUCUUUGCCAUUGUCCCUGUUCCUCUCCGCAGUGUGCAGUAGAGUUUUCCAAAGACCGUAAGACAGGCGGUGCAGCAACAGACUGCAGAAGCAGAUGGUGCGACGCCCGCCUCAAGACAAAACAAAUCAGAUGGUUAUUCAGUGUCAUCAGUGAGACUGUUUACGCAGGUGGGACCAGUUUGUGUCUGCUCCAGGAUAGCUGGCUCUAGGUCAAAUAUCAGAAUUCGAAUAUCAGCCGUGCCUUUAGCAAAUGGACAAGCUUGGGCGGAGACCUCACUACAUUACCCAGUUUCCCCAAACCUCAAGGACCAUGUCCCUUACAAAUGGACCUUAGCAGCACUACCUUGGUAGGCAUGUUGAACGUUUUCUUAAGGAAUCUCUAUACCCCAUGUGGGGCUUGAACUCAUGACGCCGAGAUCAAGAGUCCUCUGCUCUACCAGGCGCUGACCCAGUCAGGCGUCCCUACGGUACAUUUUAAGAGGACAUCAGACACAACCAUGGAAUGCUGAUGUGCCCCUGAAGCUAGAAAGCAGGGAGCAGAGACUGAGUUCCCUUCCUGGUGAAAGCAUGAGCUCCAGGGUGGACAAAGCCAGUGCCUUCACCUCUCUGCUCCCCAGAUUCUCUUCCUCAAGCCCACUGGCAUCCGAAGUGGGGUUCGUGAUGUGAGAGAACUUAGAGGUUCCCUCCGGGUGAGCAAAAAAGGGAAGCUGGGUUAACUACAACCCGUUUAGUCACGCAGACAAUCAUGCCUAUCGUUCCAACCCCAGAGCCCCACGUCUUUUUUGAUUGCUUGCUCAAACAGUACAUUAAAUCAUCUCUAACAUGCAAGAACUAUGUUAUGUUGAAACAGAAGCGUCUCCAAAAGACAAAUACUGUAUGAUUUCAUUCAUAUGUGGAACCUAAAAAACAAAACAAAUGAGCAAACACAACACACCAGAAACAGACUCAUAGAUAACAAGAGAACAAAGUGUUGGUUACCAGAGGGAAGGGGGCAGUUGCAGAACAGGAGAAAUAGUGAAGGGGAUGAAGAGAUAUAAACUUCUAGUUAUAAAACAAACAAGUCGCUGGGAUGUAAGGUAUAGCAUGGGGAAUAGAGUCCUUAAUUUUGUAAUGACUUUAUAUAGUGACAGAUGGUGGCUAGGCUUACCAUGGGAUCAUUUAAUUAUGUAUAAAAAUAUCAAAUCAUUUUGAUGCACACCCCAAACUACUAGGAUAUCGUGUGUCAGUUGUGCUUCAGUUAAAAACACAAAUUAAUGGGGCACCU
This is a long non-coding RNA of Mustela erminea (ermine), 1585 nucleotides long. RefSeq lists it as uncharacterized. Lineage: Eukaryota; Metazoa; Chordata; Mammalia; Carnivora; Mustelidae. The transcript has 4 exons. The record is from RefSeq and is a predicted model, not a curated record.